This 5404-nucleotide long non-coding RNA is filed under the name Homo sapiens (human). RNAcentral's name for it is "HSALNT0076658". The record is from RNAcentral. Lineage: Eukaryota; Metazoa; Chordata; Mammalia; Primates; Hominidae.
GUUUCCGGCUGGUGCCUGAAGUGAGGAGGAUCUUGUGAGGGACCCAACCCUCAACCUGAGAAGUCUGUGCUCAAAGUCUGAAUAAAGUCAGAAUUGUAUUGAAGUGUUUAAGAUAAAUAAGGAGCAGAAAAAAGGCAAAAUUGUGUUUGGAAAACAUCAAGAGGGAAGACCACAUUUGGGGGACUACAGGAACCAAAAUACGGAGUUUGAAUGUUUUUCCUAAGCACAAUGGAACCUGUGGAAGAUUUUUAGCAGAGCAGUUGGCUUUGAUGAACAAUGAACUGUUACUUGAUUUUACUCUUGGUUCAAGGACAUCCACAAGUGCUGUCAAAUUGAAAGCACACAAGUCACCUUCCUAAAGAGGUAAGUGGUUUUCCUUCCUCUCUCUCCUGGACAGAGGUCAAUUUCUGUUCAGAUUGGUUUGUUUAUUCCAUGAGAAUAUGGUAUUUAAAACACAUAAUUAAAAUGUACAGUUUGAAAAGUUUGGACAUAUGUAUACACUUGUUUAACCAUCACCAGUCAUUAUAAUGAGCACAUCCUUUAUCCUCAGAAGUUUUCUCAUGCCGUUUGCAAUGGAUUCCUUUCCUCCUGUCUCUACACUCCAGCCCCAGGCAACCAACGAUCUGCUUUGUCACUGUGGAUUAGUUUGUUUGAUUUAGCAUUUUAUAUCAAAGAAAUCAUAGAGUCUGUAUCUUUUUUUGUCUUGCUUCUUUCACUCAGCAUAAUUAUUUUGAGAUUUAUUGUGUUGUAGCAUGAAUAAGUAGUUAAUUUAUAUCUACUGGUGUGAAGUAUUCUAUUGCAUGGAAACAACACAAUUUAUGUAUCUAUUCACACAUUGAUGUACUUGGCAAGUAAAGUUGCUAUGUGGUGUUAUAAUUUGCAUUUUCCUAGUGAAUAAUGAUGUUCAGCAUCUUUUCAUAGAUUAGUUGGUCAUCCAGCUACUUUGGGGAAGUAUCUGCUCAAAUAUUUUGAUUAUUUUAAAAAAUUGGAUUGUUUGAUUUUUAGUAAGUUUCAGUAAACAUUUGAGUUUUUAGAAUUGUUUAUGCAUUUGGUAUACAGGCCCUUUGUGAGAUAUGUGAUGUGCAAAUAUUUUCUCCCAGUCUGUGGCUUGUCUUUUCAUUCUCUUUCAAUGACUUUCAAAGUGUUAUUUUUAAUUGUAAUGAAGUCCAACUCAUUAAUUUUUUUGUUAUGGUUUGUGUUUUCAUUGACAUAUCAAUAAAAUCUUUGCCUAAUUUCAUGCCAUAAAGAUAUUUUUCCUGUAUUUUCUCCCUGAAGAUAUAUAGUAUUUUGUUUUACAUUUAGGUCUAUUACUCAUGUUGAUCCAAUUUGAGUUAAUUUCUGUAUAUGGUAUGAGGUAUUAAGAGAGUUCAUUUUUUACAUGAAUAUUCAAUAACUAUAGCACUAUUCAUUCAAAAGAUUAUCCUGUGUGCACUGAAUUGCUUUAUAAAAACUCAGUUGUUCAUAUAUUUAUAUGUCUGUUUCUAGACUCUUAGUUGUUUCAUUUAUCUGUCUGUCUUUACACAAGUGCCACACUCUAUGAUUAAUGUAGUUUUAUAAUAAGCCUUGAACCUAGGUAGCAUUAUUCCUGUAACUUUAUUUUUCAAAGUUGUUAUGACUCUUUAUAUAAGCUUUAUAAAUGGCUUUUUGAAUUUCCAUAUGAAUUUUGAAAGUGGUCUGUCAUUUCUAUUAAAAAGAAGACAAAAACCCCUGGGAAUUUUAUUAAGAUUGCAUUAAAUCUAUAGGUCAAUUUAAGAAGAAUUGACAUUUUAAAACUAUUAAGAUUUCUAAUUCAUGCACAUAGUAUCUCUUUGCUUAUCUAAGACAUAAUUUUUUCAACGUUUUGUAGUUUUCAGUGUAUUAGUCCUUUACAUGUUUCCAGAAAUUUUUCCUGUUUCACUUAUUUCUAGUUUCUAAAGGUAGAAGUUGAGAUAAUUGAUUUCAGAUCUUAUUUCUUUUCUAAUGCAGAUCUUUCACACUAUAAAUUACUGAUUUAGUGGCAUGCAUAAAUUUCAGUAUGCUGCAUUUUUAUUUUUAUUUAAAAAUUAUUUGUAAUUUAUUUUUUAUUCUUCCUUUGACUCCCUCACCGUUCAGUUUUUAGAAGUACUUUAGCUAGUUCUCUCUCUCUCAAUUUUAUUUAAUUUCAUUGUGAUCAAAAAAUAUACUUUGAAUAACAAAUUUUUUUAAGUUUAUAAAGAUUUAUUUUCUGGUUAAGAAUAUAGUCUAUUUUGGUGACUAAUUCAUGAGCCCCUGAAAAUAAGGCAUAUUUUCAGUUUUAAAUAAAGUGCUAAAUGCCAGUUAUGUCAAUUUGGUCUCCUAAAUGCCAAUUAUGUCAAUUUGGUUUAUGAUAUUGUUUGGCUGUUCUCUCAUGUAUCUUUAUUGACUCUCUAUCUACUUAUCAAUUAUUGACACAGGAGUAUUUAAAUUGCCAACUAUAAUUAUGGAUUUAUCAAUUUCUCCUUCCAGUUCUAUCAGUUUAUACUUUAUGUAUUUUGAAAUUUUGUUGAAUUCUAGGUGGUAAAGCCCAUUAUCACUCAAAUUACGAUCAAAUGACCCAGUUUCUUGGGAAUGCUAACAUUCUUGAAUUUACAUUUUCUAUUGCUAUGCCUCCAAAUUAAUCGCCCCAUAUAAAGAGAUGCUUAGGCUGAGAGUAUGCCCAGGAUGGAAAGAGGAGACAAACACACGAAGUACCCAAUAGCAUUGUCUUCAAAGGACAGGCUCUGAUAGCCGCUGGAGGUGGCAUUGAAGAUUUAAUUUGGAAAGAUGUCAAGAAAACAAAGGAUUUCUCUCUGACCUCCUUUCCCCAAUGGAAAAGAUGAUAUCACUUCGAAGUUUCUUCUAAAACAAAGAAUAACUUUUCAAAAGUUUCCUUUGAAAUUGGAGUCAGUAAAGCUGAACAAAAAUAUCAUAAACACACCUAAUCUUUGUCCACUUCCCAAGCCUGUCCCAAUUUCUGAUGAAUGCUACACUCAGAACCAUUUCUCAUAUAAAGAGAACAUUUGCUAUUUAUUGGAAAAAGUUCCAUUUUUUUGACAAUGUACUGUAAUUCCUUGGGAGUAGGCUCCUAAAUUGUCAAUCUUGGCAUAUGAAAAAUUCAAACGAAUUAACAAUAAAAUUGUUAUAUUAGUCUGUUCUCACACUGCUGUGAAGAAACAUCAGAGACUGGGUAACUUAGAAAGGAAAGAGGUUUACAUGACUCACAGUUCUGCGUUGCUGGGGAGGCCUCAGAAACUUACAAUAAUGGCAGAAGGCAAAACAGAAGCAGGCACCUUACUCACAGUGCAGCAGGAUGGAAUAAGUGCAAGCAAGGGAUACGCUGGAUGCUUAUAAAACCAUCAGAUCUCCUGAGAACUCACUCACUAUCAUGAGAACAGCAUGGGGGAACCGCCACCAUCAUCCAAUUACCUCCACCUGUUCCCGCCCUUGACACAUGGAGAUUAUGGGGAUUACAAAUCAAGGGUAAGCCAUGGCGUUUCAUCAAUUAACAAUAAAGGAAGAAAGCAGGCCUAAAGCCUAUGAUGGAAAAAGAAAAUGGCAGAAGAGAUUGUGAACUUAAGUAAAGUAUUGUAGGUUCAGGAGUACAUGUGCAGAAUGUGCAGUGUUGUUACAUAGAUAAAUGUGUGUCAUGAUGGUUUGCUGCACGGAUCAUCUCAUCACCCAGGUAUUAAGCCCAGCAUCCAUUAGCUAUUCUUUCUUAUGCUCUCCCUUCUAAAAAGUGUUCUACCCUUCACCUUAAAAAAUGCCCCAGUGUGUGUUCUCCACCCCCAUCAUGUGUGCAUGUGUUCUCAUAAUUCAGCUCCCACUUAUAAGAGAGAGCAUGCAGCAUUUGGUUUUCUUUUCCUGCAUUAAUUUGCUGAUAAUAAUGGCUUCCAUGACCUUGCAAAGGACAUGAUUUUGUUCCUUUUUAUGGCUGCAUAGUAUGUAUAUGUACCACAUUUCCUUUAUCCAGUCUAUCAUUUGAUGGGCAUUUAGGUUGAUUCCAUCUCUUUGCAAUUGUGAAGAGUGCUGCAAUAAAUAUACACAUGCAUGUAUCUUUAUAAUAAAAAGAUUUAUAUUCCUUUGGUUAUAUAUCCAGUAAUUGGGAUUGCUGGGUCGAAUCGUAUUUCUGCCUCUAGGUCUUUGAGGAAUGGCCACACUGUCUUCUACAAUGGUUGAGCUAAUUUACACUCCCACCAAUAGUGCAUAAGUAUUCCCUUUUCUCGGCAACCUCACCAUCAUCUGCUAUUAUUUUUUUUGACUUUUUAGUAAUAGCCAUUCUAACUGGUGUUAGAUGGUAUCUGAUUAUGGUUUUGAUUUGCAUUUCACUAAUAAUCAGUGAUGUUGAGCUUUUCUUCAUGUAUUUGCUGGCCACAUGUAUGUCCUCUUUUGAGAAGUGUCUGUUCAUGUCCUUUGCCCACUUUUUAAUGUGGUUGUUUGGUGGUUUUUUUCUUGUAAAUUGUUUAAGCUUCAUGUAGAUGCUGGAUAUUAGACCUUUAUCAGGUGGAUAGAGUGCAAAAAUUUUCUUCCGCUCUUUACAUUGUCUGUUUCCUCUGUUGAUAGUUUCUUUUGCUGUGCAGAAACUCUUUUGUUUAAUUAAAUCCCAUUUGUCAAUUUUUGCUUUUGUUCCAAUUGCUUUUGGCAUCUUCGUCAUGAAAUCUUUGCCUGUGCCUAUAUCCUGAAUAGAAUUGCCUUUGUUUUCUUAUAGGGUUUUUAUAGUUUUGGGUUUUACAUUGAAGUCUUUAAACCAUAUUGAGUUAAUUUCUGUAUAAGUUGUAAGGAAUGGGUCCUGUUUCAAUUUUCUGCAUAUAGCUAGGCAGUUCUUUCUGUACCAUUUAUUAAACAGGGAAUCUUUUCCCCAUUGCUUGUUUUUGUCAGAUUUGUCAAAGAUCAGAUGGUUGUCAGUGUGUAGUCUUAUUUCUGCGUUCUCUAUUCUGUUCCAUUGAUCUGUGUGUCUGUUCUUGUACCAGUAUCAUGCUGUUUUGAUUACUGUAGCCCUGUAGUAUAGUUUGAAUUCAGAUAGCAUGAUGCCUUCAGCUUCGUUCUUUUUGCUUAGAAUAGCCUUGGCUAUUUGGGCUCUUUUUUUGUUUUCAUAGGUAUUAUAAAACAGUUUUUUCUAAUUCUAUGAGGAAUGUCAAUGGUAGUUUAACAGGAACAGCACUGAAUCUAUAAAUUACUUCAGGCAGUAUGGCCAUUUUCACAAUAUUGAUUCUUCCUAUUCAUGAACGUGAACUUUUUUGUGUUUACUUUUGUCAUCCCUGACUCCUCUGAGCAGAGCUUUGUAGUUACCUUGUAGAGAUAUUUCACAUCCUUUGUUAGCUGUAUUCCUAUGUGUUUUAUUCUGUUUGUGAUGAUUGUGAUUGGGAGUUCAUUUGUGAUUUGACUCUCAACUUGACUCUUGUUGGUGUACAGGAAUGCUAACAAUGUUUGC